UUGAUGCAAAUGAUGAGACAGAAGUUUUAUGGGUAAUUUGCGUCUGAGGCAUCUCUGUGAUAUUACACUCUUUUCACCUUGGAGAUCUGAUGCAUCCU
This is a non-coding RNA of Triticum aestivum (bread wheat), 98 nucleotides long. NCBI's taxonomy places the organism in Eukaryota, Viridiplantae, Streptophyta, Magnoliopsida, Poales, Poaceae. The record is from Rfam.